CUGAGAUUGAAGAUAAUGGCAUACUUCGCUUAACAAACGACACUCUCCGCUUGAAAGGCCAUGCUUUUUACUCCAAUAAAAUCCAAUUCAAGAACUCUAGCACUGGCAGAGCUCUCUCCUUCUCCACCGCCUNNNNUUCGCCAUAGUUCCUGAAUACCCAAAGCUCGGCGGCCAUGGUUUUGCUUUCACCAUCUCUCCCUCAAAGGAGCUCCCAGGGUCUCUUCCAAGCCAGUACCUAGGCCA
This 243-nucleotide unclassified non-coding RNA is filed under the name Hevea brasiliensis (rubber tree). Lineage: Eukaryota; Viridiplantae; Streptophyta; Magnoliopsida; Malpighiales; Euphorbiaceae. The record is from RNAcentral.